AGAAAGAUCGAGUGAGGGACAUCACAUAGAACCAUUCAGCGUCAGUGGCAUCUCUGUGAUCGAUCAUAGACCCAUCUGUGUCAUGGUAUUCACAGAUGAGAGCUUGGAUUCCAUUCACGGGUCUUUUCCUCUCUAAGUUGAAGGUAGGAAUGCGGUGUUGGAGGUGGCUGUUGACGGUGGUUAGUUUUGGGGAUGUAUCUCUGGUGCCUUGGAAGUGGCCAUCUCCCCAUGCGAGGAAGACGCGGCCAGUUUCAUCGUUUGAUGUUUGCCAGAAUAUGGCAUAAGCCCACCAGUCAGGCUGGCUUUGGAGCAUGAAUUGGAGCCUCUGUUGGAUAGUAGCUGGGGUUUCUUGUGAUGAAGGGACUAGCGAAGAAGAAGAAGAAGAUGGAGAUAUGAUGAGUUUCUCCAUGGCUUGAGAUCAAUUCUGAUUGUGUCAAAGAGGCAGAAAGAGGGAAAUGGAUGCGAAAGAGAAAGAAAAGAAACCAGAUAAAAAGAAAGAGAGGAGAGGACUAGACUUUCCCGUUGGUACGGAAAAAGAAAGAGAGAUGAAGAGUAGAGAUAGAGUCAGGCCAAGCGCAGUACAACG
This 586-nucleotide unclassified non-coding RNA is filed under the name Hevea brasiliensis (rubber tree). The record is from RNAcentral. Lineage: Eukaryota; Viridiplantae; Streptophyta; Magnoliopsida; Malpighiales; Euphorbiaceae.